This 303-nucleotide long non-coding RNA is filed under the name Capsella rubella. RNAcentral describes it as "long non-coding RNA (CRUB_LNC000101)". Lineage: Eukaryota; Viridiplantae; Streptophyta; Magnoliopsida; Brassicales; Brassicaceae. The record is from RNAcentral.
UUUGAGGCACUAAAUGGCUUGUCUAAAGUUGUUUACGGUUAGAAUAUGCUAUAUUACAAUGAAUUUGAUUGAUUAAAAGUGUUAGAGAUGCAUGAAGAAUGUUUAGAAGUGUGAAGAAAGACUUGGUCAAUUCAGGUCCCAAAUUGGAUAAGAACCCAAAACCAUUGCUUUGAGGCACUAAUUAGCUUGUCUAAAUUUGUUUCGGGUUAGAAUAUGUUAUAGUACAAUGAAUUUGAAUGAUUACAACUGCUAGAGAUGCAUGAAGAAUGUUUAGAAGUGUGAAGAAACACUUGGUCAAAUCUG